AGUGAACGCUGGCGGUAGGCCUAACACAUGCAAGUCGAACGGCAGCACAGUAAGAGCUUGCUCUUACGGGUGGCGAGUGGCGGACGAGUGAGGAAUACAUCGGAAUCUACUUUUUCGUGGGGGAUAACGUAGGGAAACUUACGCUAAUACCGCAUACGACCUACGGGUGAAAGCAGGGGAUCUUCGGACCUUGCGCGAUUGAAUGAGCCGAUGUCGGAUUAGCUAGUUGGCGGGGUAAAGGCCCACCAAGGCGACGAUCCGUAGCUGGUCUGAGAGGAUGAAUGGAGAAAGUGAGAAUGAGAAACGGUGCAGACAAGGAAGGGCGGCAGCAGGGGGGGAGAGUGAAAAAGGGGCGGAGGCGGGAGCCAGACAUAACGGGUGGGUGAAGAAGGCCUUCGGGUUGGAAAGGCCUUGUGUGGAGAAAGAAAAGCAGCAGGUUGAAACCCCGCUGAACUGACGGGACCCAAAGAAUAAAAACCGGCGAACUUCGUG
Molecule: ribosomal RNA, 492 nt
Filed under: uncultured bacterium
Lineage: Bacteria
Description: partial 16S ribosomal RNA
Rfam family: Bacterial small subunit ribosomal RNA
Source: RNAcentral